This 382-nucleotide ribosomal RNA is filed under the name uncultured eukaryote. RNAcentral's name for it is "partial 18S ribosomal RNA". It matches the Rfam family "Eukaryotic small subunit ribosomal RNA", at positions 592 to 976 of the family's 1831-position model. The record is from RNAcentral.
UGUAAGCGUAUACCAAAGUUGUUGCAGUUAAAACGCUCGUAGUCGGAAUUUGGCAGUUCCGGAUGUGUGCACGUCGUGUGCGCACUUCGCGGGGAUUGCUUUUGUGGUCUUGCGUCGGAUGAGGCACUUUUAUUAGUGAACGUCCUCACGCAACCACUUUUUACUGUGAGAAAAUCAGAGUGCUCAAAGCAGGCAUUUGCCGUGAAUGUAUUAGCAUGGAAUAAUAGAAUAGGACUUGGUUCUAUUUUGUUGGUUUGUUGGGACUGAGUAAUGAUUAAGAGGGACAGUUGGGGGCAUUUGUAUUUCGGUGCUAGAGGUGAAAUUCUUAGAUUACCGAAAGACAAACUGCUGCGAAAGCGUCUGCCAAGGAUGUUUUCAUUGA